UGGCGAACGGGUGAGUAACGCGUGAGUAACCUGCCCUAGAGUGGGGGACAACAGUUGGAAACGACUGCUAAUACCGCAUAAGCCCACGGUACCGCAUGGUACUGAGGGAAAAGGAUUUAUUCGCUUUAGGAUGGACUCGCGUCCAAUUAGCUAGUUGGUGAGGUAACGGCCCACCAAGGCAACGAUCAGUAGCCGACCUGAGAGGGUGACCGGCCACAUUGGGACUGAGACACGGCCCAA
Molecule: ribosomal RNA, 240 nt
Filed under: uncultured bacterium
Lineage: Bacteria
Description: partial 16S ribosomal RNA
Rfam family: Bacterial small subunit ribosomal RNA
Source: RNAcentral